RNAcentral lists this ribosomal RNA (331 nucleotides) under uncultured bacterium. Its description in RNAcentral is "bacterial SSU rRNA". It matches the Rfam family "Bacterial small subunit ribosomal RNA", at positions 355 to 681 of the family's 1533-position model. The record is from RNAcentral.
UAAGGGAUAUUGGUCAAUGGGGCGGGGAGCCUGAACCAGCCAUGCCGCGUGAGGGAAUGAGGCCCUACGGGUCGUAAACCUCUUUUGCCGGGGGAUAACGGGCGCCACGCGUGGCGCCGUGAAGGUACCCGGAGAAUAAGCAUCGGCUAACUCCGUGCCAGCAGCCGCGGUAAUACGGAGGAUGCGAGCGUUAUCCGGAUUUAUUGGGUUUAAAGGGUGCGUAGGCGGGCGUCUAAGUCAGCGGUGAAAGUUCCCGGCUCAACCGGGUCAGUGCCGAUGAUACUGGGGGUCUUGAAUGCGGUCGAGGCCGGCGGAAUGUGGCGUGUAGCGG